RNAcentral lists this unclassified non-coding RNA (535 nucleotides) under Flavobacterium columnare. RNAcentral's name for it is "16S-23S ribosomal RNA intergenic spacer". The stretch from base 256 to 329 matches the Rfam family "tRNA". Lineage: Bacteria; Pseudomonadati; Bacteroidota; Flavobacteriia; Flavobacteriales; Flavobacteriaceae. The record is from RNAcentral.
UGCGGCUGGAACACCUCCUUUCUAGAGACAUAAAAAAGACCUAGGGUCUUACUCUCGCUGUUAGUUCAAAAAAAAAGACUUAAAAUACAGAGUCUCGUAGCUCAGCUGGUUAGAGUACUACACUGAUAAUGUAGGGGUCGGCAGUUCGAGUCUGCCCGGGACUACUUUUAACAAGUAUUUUAAGAGAAAAAGGAAAUUUUAGAAGUUGAGUCCUUGAAUUUUGAAAUUUGAGAUUUAAAUUUUGAAAUUGAAAACGGGGGAUUAGCUCAGCUGGCUAGAGCGCCUGCCUUGCACGCAGGAGGUCAUCGGUUCGACUCCGAUAUUCUCCACAAAAAAAUUGAUAAUUAUCAAUUGAUAAUUGUUAAUUGAUUAAAGUUCAUUGACAUAUUGAGAUAAACAUACAAACAAGUAGAAAGAACACAAAAAAAUGUGAAUUUUAAAUUGUGAAUUAUGAAUUGAUUCAUCAUUUAUAAAUUAACAUUUAUAAUUAAAAAAGAAACAAUAAGCAAAAUAAGGGCGUAUGGGGGAUGCCUAG